Gadus macrocephalus (Pacific cod) is the source of this 887-nucleotide long non-coding RNA. RefSeq lists it as uncharacterized. NCBI's taxonomy places the organism in Eukaryota, Metazoa, Chordata, Actinopteri, Gadiformes, Gadidae. The record is from RefSeq and is a predicted model, not a curated record. The transcript is spliced from 2 exons.
AGGAGGAGGGGGAGGGGAAGGAGGAGGAGGAGGGGGAGGAGGGGGAGGAGGGGGAGGAGGAGGAGGAGGAGGAGGGGAAGGAGGAGGGGGAGGAGGAGGAGGAGGACAUGUCAGUUCCAUGAAGUUGCCCACUUUCUUCUACAUUUGAAGCGGCAGCCAUGGUCGCCUGUUUGUGAAGCGACUGCUGUUACGCUUUUCCUCCGUAGCUUAAUGACCCGCGAAGGUUUGGGAAAAUGAAAGCCCCGGCCUUAAACAACAAAAUCACAUCAAACAUUUUCAUCAGUUACGACAUUAGUUACGGCAUCACUUACGACAAUCAUAACGACCUAAGUUACAACAUCACUUACGACAUCAGUUAUGACAUCACUUACGGCAUCACUUGCGACGUAAAUAUGCUGCAUUUUCCAAGCAUCACCCCAGUGUUAAAGGAGGAUGGAUUCAACCCUCAACCUCAAAUAGCCAGUGAAUACGCGUGUAAUAACUCUAAAGGGCAGUUUGUGGAUGAGGCGGAUUAUGAUAAGUGGGUUUUAUUCAAUGCAUCCAUGUUUUGGAGAGUUUCGUUUUUGAGUUUUCCAUGUGCGAUAACUAAAAGUAGGCUAUCUCUCUAUUGGAAGAACAAAAUGUUUUUAUUGAUACAACUUCAAAUUUGAUCGAAAGCAACCUUUAGUCAAGUCCUGCAGGGCAAGUAAACAUUGGCUUGUUCUACCAACUGCUGUUGAAAUGAAUGAUCAAUACAUAUAACAGAUAGUGAUAAUUAUAGGUCUUUAAAUGUAGUUUUCCGCUGUAGAUGCCAUGAUAGCACAUUUUAUGAUUUGCUGAAUGUCGAGGUAAACAAAAAACUGUUUGCGGUUGCAGAUUGCCGAGAUAAAAAAAUAAAUAAGAACAAC